RNAcentral lists this ribosomal RNA (120 nucleotides) under Oncorhynchus kisutch (coho salmon). Lineage: Eukaryota; Metazoa; Chordata; Actinopteri; Salmoniformes; Salmonidae. The record is from RNAcentral.
GCUUACGACCACACCGGCCUGAGUACGCCUGAUCUCGUCUGAUCUCGGAAGCUAAGCAGGGUCGGGCCUGGUUAGUUACUUGGCGGGAGAAACGCCUGGGAAUACCAGGUGCUGUAAGCU